Acanthosepion pharaonis is the source of this 109-nucleotide non-coding RNA. Lineage: Eukaryota; Metazoa; Mollusca; Cephalopoda; Sepiida; Sepiidae. The record is from the annotation of a GenBank genome assembly.
GCCAUAUCACGUUGCAACACCAUUUCUCGUACGAUCACCAAAGUUAUACAAUGUCGAGCCUGAUUAGUACCUAGAUGGGUAACCGCUUGAGAAUACAAGGUGCUGUAAG